This 451-nucleotide ribosomal RNA is filed under the name uncultured bacterium. RNAcentral describes it as "bacterial SSU rRNA". It matches the Rfam family "Bacterial small subunit ribosomal RNA", at positions 354 to 796 of the family's 1533-position model. The record is from RNAcentral.
GUGGGGAAUUUUGCGCAAUGGGCGAAAGCCUGACGCAGCAACGCCGCGUGGAGGAUGAAGGCCUUUGGGUUGUAAACUCCUGUCGAGCGGGAAGAAUUGCUCGGGUGCUAAUACCAUUCGGGUUUGACUGUACCGCCAGAGGAAGCCCCGGCUAACUCCGUGCCAGCAGCCGCGGUAAUACGGAGGGGGCAAGCGUUAUUCGGAAUUAUUGGGCGUAAAGGGCGCGUAGGCGGCCUGGUGAGUCGAAGGUGAAAUCCCCGAGCUCAACUUGGGAACUGCCUUCGAUACUGCCUGGCUCGAGUCCGGGAGGGGAGAGUGGAAUUCCCAGUGUAGCGGUGAAAUGCGUAGAUAUUGGGAGGAACACCGGUGGCGAAGGCGGCUCUCUGGACCGGAACUGACGCUGAGGCGCGAAAGCGUGGGUAGCAAACAGGAUUAGAAACCCCAGUAGUCC